UUAAAUUGAAGAGUUUGAUCAUGGCUCAGAUUGAACGCUGGCGGCAGGCCUAACACAUGCAAGUCGAACGGUAACAGGAAGCAGCUUGCUGCUUUGCUGACGAGUGGCGGACGGGUGAGUAAUGUCUGGGAAACUGCCUGAUGGAGGGGGAUAACUACUGGAAACGGUGGCUAAUACCGCAUAACGUCGCAAGACCAAAGAGGGGGACCUUCGGGCCUCUUGCCAUCAGAUGUGCCCAGAUGGGAUUAGCUUGUUGGUGAGGUAACGGCUCACCAAGGCGACGAUCCCUAGCUGGUCUGAGAGGAUGACCAGCCACACUGGAACUGAGACACGGUCCAGACUCCUACGGGAGGCAGCAGUGGGGAAUAUUGCACAAUGGGCGCAAGCCUGAUGCAGCCAUGCCGCGUGUAUGAAGAAGGCCUUCGGGUUGUAAAGUACUUUCAGCGGGGAGGAAGGUGUUGUGGUUAAUAACCACAGCAAUUGACGUUACCCGCAGAAGAAGCACCGGCUAACUCCGUGCCAGCAGCCGCGGUAAUACGGAGGGUGCAAGCGUUAAUCGGAAUUACUGGGCGUAAAGCGCACGCAGGCGGUCUGUCAAGUCGGAUGUGAAAUCCCCGGGCUCAACCUGGGAACUGCAUUCGAAACUGGCAGGCUUGAGUCUUGUAGAGGGGGGUAGAAUUCCAGGUGUAGCGGUGAAAUGCGUAGAGAUCUGGAGGAAUACCGGUGGCGAAGGCGGCCCCCUGGACAAAGACUGACGCUCAGGUGCGAAAGCGUGGGGAGCAAACAGGAUUAGAUACCCUGGUAGUCCAUGCCGUAAACGAUGUCUACUUGGAGGUUGUGCCCUUGAGGCGUGGCUUCCGGAGCUAACGCGUUAAGUAGACCGCCUGGGGAGUACGGCCGCAAGGUUAAAACUCAAAUGAAUUGACGGGGGCCCGCACAAGCGGUGGAGCAUGUGGUUUAAUUCGAUGCAACGCGAAGAACCUUACCUGGUCUUGACAUCCACAGAACUUUCCAGAGAUGGAUUGGUGCCUUCGGGAACUGUGAGACAGGUGCUGCAUGGCUGUCGUCAGCUCGUGUUGUGAAAUGUUGGGUUAAGUCCCGCAACGAGCGCAACCCUUAUCCUUUGUUGCCAGCGAUUAGGUCGGGAACUCAAAGGAGACUGCCAGUGAUAAACUGGAGGAAGGUGGGGAUGACGUCAAGUCAUCAUGGCCCUUACGACCAGGGCUACACACGUGCUACAAUGGCGCAUACAAAGAGAAGCGACCUCGCGAGAGCAAGCGGACCUCAUAAAGUGCGUCGUAGUCCGGAUUGGAGUCUGCAACUCGACUCCAUGAAGUCGGAAUCGCUAGUAAUCGUGGAUCAGAAUGCCACGGUGAAUACGUUCCCGGGCCUUGUACACACCGCCCGUCACACCAUGGGAGUGGGUUGCAAAAGAAGUAGGUAGCUUAACCUUCGGGAGGGCGCUUACCACUUUGUGAUUCAUGACUGGGGUGAAGUCGUAACAAGGUAACCGUAGGGGAACCUGCGGUUGGAUCACCUCCUUACCUGAAAGAAGC
Molecule: ribosomal RNA, 1556 nt
Filed under: Salmonella enterica subsp. enterica serovar Gaminara
Lineage: Bacteria; Pseudomonadati; Pseudomonadota; Gammaproteobacteria; Enterobacterales; Enterobacteriaceae
Description: bacterial SSU rRNA
Rfam family: Bacterial small subunit ribosomal RNA
Source: RNAcentral